This 670-nucleotide ribosomal RNA is filed under the name Culicoides similis. RNAcentral's name for it is "partial 28S ribosomal RNA". It matches the Rfam family "Eukaryotic large subunit ribosomal RNA", at positions 383 to 965 of the family's 3401-position model. The record is from RNAcentral. Lineage: Eukaryota; Metazoa; Arthropoda; Insecta; Diptera; Ceratopogonidae.
GAAGCUUACUGAUGACCUAAAUAUCUGAUGAGGAAAUUCAGCAUUAUUAGUGCCAGAUGAUGGUACAAUGGUGUGCACUUUUCUUCUAGUAAGACGUUGCGAUCCAUUAGAAAAUUUAUUUUAAUCCGGUUUUUAGCCCCAGUAAGAAUUUAAGCCAUUAACCAAUUACCUGAAUUUUUUUGUUUUGGAAUGGCUGGAAACCAUUUGGGGUUCCUACCAAAUUCCGAAGGGAUUAAGAACAAUUUUCCCAAAACAUUUCCUGGGAAAUGGAUUCCCCUGGGGAAAUUAAGGCUAACUUUACCACCACCUUUUAAAAUUAAGAAUCCCUCCAGAACCCGCUUUGAACCACGGACCAAAAAUCCAAAUUGGAUGGCAAUCCAUGGGAAUAAUAAAACCUAAUAGCCAAAUGGAAAUAACUUGGUUAUGGGAUUAACAAUUGGACCAUUUAUCCAUUUUUCCCUCCCCCGGUAACUUAAUGGAAGUUAUGCCAUUUUGGUUGUGUGAAUAAAAAAAAAAACCGUGGGCCUUCCAGCUGUGACCGAAAGAUGGUGAACAUGCCUGAUCAGUUGAAGUCGGGGAAACCCUGAUGGAGAACGUAACAUUCUAAGUGCAAUCGAUGGCAAAUUGGGUAAGGGCGAAGACCAUCGACAUCUAUAUGUUCUUCUCCAAA